Molecule: ribosomal RNA, 497 nt
Filed under: uncultured bacterium
Lineage: Bacteria
Description: partial 16S ribosomal RNA
Rfam family: Bacterial small subunit ribosomal RNA
Source: RNAcentral
GAUGAGCGCUGGCGGCGUGCCUAAUACAUGCAAGUCGAGCGAACAGACGAGGAGCUUGCUCCUCUGACGUUAGCGGCGGACGGGUGAGUAACACGUGGAUAACCUACCUAUAAGACUGGGAUAACUUCGGGAAACCGGAGCUAAUACCGGAUAAUAUAUUGAACCGCAUGGUUCAAUAGUGAAAGACGGUUUUGCUGUCACUUAUAGAUGGAUCCGCGCCGCAUUAGCUAGUUGGUAAGGUAACGGCUUACCAAGGCAACGAUGCGUAGCCGACCUGAGAGGGUGAUCGGCCACACUGGAACUGAGACACGGUCCAGACUCCUACGGGAGGCAUCAGUAGGGAAUCUUCCGCAAUGGGCGAAAGCUUGACGGAGCAACGCCGCGUGAGUGAUGAAGGUCUUCGGAUCGUAAAACUCUGUUAUUAGGGAAGAACAAAUGUGUAAGUAACUAUGCACGUCUUGACGGUACCUAAUCAGAAAGCCACGGCUAACUACGUG